GUCUCUUUUUUAAUACGCUGUCUAAGACAAGUGCGAAAGUAAGUCCUCUUUUGCAACCCACAACUCAUUGUUCAGUAUGAGUUUUGAUACAGAUAAGAAGGAACGUG
RNAcentral lists this small nucleolar RNA (107 nucleotides) under Cervus hanglu yarkandensis (Yarkand deer). RNAcentral describes it as "Small nucleolar RNA SNORA40 (ENSCHYG00000000490.1)". It matches the Rfam family "Small nucleolar RNA SNORA40". Rfam says of the family: The snoRNA ACA 40 belongs to the H/ACA family of snoRNAs and guides the pseudouridylation of 28S rRNA subunit at position U4565. NB This family has a high threshold value to exclude a large number of closely related sequences that do not appear to have conserved H and ACA boxes, and may be pseudogenes. The record is from Rfam by way of RNAcentral. Lineage: Eukaryota; Metazoa; Chordata; Mammalia; Artiodactyla; Cervidae.